Molecule: ribosomal RNA, 462 nt
Filed under: uncultured Paludibacter sp.
Lineage: Bacteria; Pseudomonadati; Bacteroidota; Bacteroidia; Bacteroidales; Paludibacteraceae
Description: bacterial SSU rRNA
Rfam family: Bacterial small subunit ribosomal RNA
Source: RNAcentral
UUCCUACGGGGGGCAGCAGUGAGGAAUAUUGGUCAAUGGGCGAGAGCCUGAACCAGCCAUGUCGCGUGAAGGAAGAAUGUCCUAUGGAUUGUAAACUUCUUUUAUACAGGAAUAAAGUGUACUACGUGUAGUAUUUUGUAUGUACUGUAUGAAUAAGGAUCGGCUAACUCCGUGCCAGCAGCCGCGGUAAUACGGAGGAUCCGAGCGUUAUCCGGAUUUAUUGGGUUUAAAGGGUGCGUAGGCGGAAUAGCAAGUCAGUGGUGAAAGUUUGCAGCUUAACUGUAAAAUUGCCAUUGAAACUGCUGUUCUUGAGUACAGUAGAGGUAGGCGGAAUGUGUAGUGUAGCGGUGAAAUGCAUAGAUAUUACACAGAACACCGAUUGCGUAGGCAGCUUACUGGAGUGUAACUGACGCUGAGGCACGAUAGCGUGGGGAUCAAACAGGAUUAGAUACCCUAGUAGUC